UACGGCUAUAUCACGUUGAAACACCGAUUCCCGUACGAUUAGAGAAGUUAAGCUACGUCGAGCCUGGUCAAUACCUAGAUGGGUGACCGCUUGCGAAUACAAGCUGCUGUAAG
Molecule: non-coding RNA, 113 nt
Organism: Acanthosepion pharaonis
Lineage: Eukaryota; Metazoa; Mollusca; Cephalopoda; Sepiida; Sepiidae
Source: the annotation of a GenBank genome assembly